Molecule: ribosomal RNA, 253 nt
Filed under: uncultured bacterium
Lineage: Bacteria
Description: partial 16S ribosomal RNA
Rfam family: Bacterial small subunit ribosomal RNA
Source: RNAcentral
UACGUAGGGGGCAAGCGUUGUCCGGAAUCAUUGGGCGUAAAGAGCGUGUAGGCGGCUCGAUAAGUCUGCUGUGAAAGUCCAGGGCUCAACCCUGGAAGGCCGGUGGAAACUGUCGGGCUAGAGUCCGGAAGAGGCGAGUGGAAUUCCCGGUGUAGCGGUGAAAUGCGCAGAUAUCGGGAGGAACACCAAUGGCGAAGGCAGCUCGCUGGGACGGUACUGACGCUGAGGCGCGACAGCGUGGGGAGCAAACAGG